This 461-nucleotide ribosomal RNA is filed under the name uncultured Bacillota bacterium. Its description in RNAcentral is "bacterial SSU rRNA". It matches the Rfam family "Bacterial small subunit ribosomal RNA", at positions 355 to 809 of the family's 1533-position model. The record is from RNAcentral. Lineage: Bacteria; Bacillati; Bacillota.
UAGGGAAUCUUCCGCAAUGGACGAAAGUCUGACGGAGCAACGCCGCGUGAGCGAUGAAGGCCUUCGGGUCGUAAAGCUCUGUUGUUAGGGAAGAACAAGUAUCGGAGUAACUGCCGGUACCUUGACGGUACCUAACCAGAAAGCCACGGCUAACUACGUGCCAGCAGCCGCGGUAAUACGUAGGUGGCAAGCGUUGUCCGGAAUUAUUGGGCGUAAAGCGCGCGCAGGCGGUCCUUUAAGUCUGAUGUGAAAGCCCACGGCUCAACCGUGGAGGGUCAUUGGAAACUGGGGGACUUGAGUACAGAAGAGGAAAGCGGAAUUCCACGUGUAGCGGUGAAAUGCGUAGAGAUGUGGAGGAACACCAGUGGCGAAGGCGGCUUUCUGGUCUGUAACUGACGCUGAGGCGCGAAAGCGUGGGAGCAAACAGGAUUAGAUACCCUGGUAGUCCACGCCGUAAACGA